RNAcentral lists this unclassified non-coding RNA (430 nucleotides) under soil metagenome. RNAcentral's name for it is "partial contains 5.8S ribosomal RNA, internal transcribed spacer 2, and large subunit ribosomal RNA". The stretch from base 1 to 120 matches the Rfam family "5.8S ribosomal RNA", at positions 35 to 154 of the family's 154-position model. The record is from RNAcentral.
GAUGAAGAACGCAGCGAAAUGCGAUACGUAAUGUGAAUUGCAGAAUUCAGUGAAUCAUCGAAUCUUUGAACGCAUAUUGCGCUCUCUGGUAUUCCGGAGAGCAUGCUUGUUUGAGUAUCAGUAAACACCUCAACUCCCUUUUCUUUUUUGAAAUUGGAGCUGGACUUGAGUGAUCCCAACGCUUUCUUCCAAGAAAGUGGCGGGUUGCUUGAAAUGCAGGUGCAGCUGAACUUUUCUCUGAGCUAUAAGCAUAUCUAUUUAGUCUGCCUAAAAAACAGAUUAUUUCCUUUGCUGCAGCUAACAUAAAGGAGACUAGUUCUUGUGCUGACUGAUGCAGGAUUCACAGAGACAGCUUCGGCUGACUUUGUAAACUCGAUCUCAAAUCAAGUAAGACUACCCGCUGAACUUAAGCAUAUCAAUAAGCGGAGGA